RNAcentral lists this ribosomal RNA (428 nucleotides) under uncultured prokaryote. RNAcentral describes it as "partial 16S ribosomal RNA". It matches the Rfam family "Bacterial small subunit ribosomal RNA", at positions 355 to 774 of the family's 1533-position model. The record is from RNAcentral.
UCGAGAGGCUUCUACAAUGGGGGAAACCCUGAUAGAGCGACGCCGCGUGGGUGAUGAAGGUCUUCGGAUCGUAAAGCCCUUUCAGCAGGGAAGAACGGAUUGGUGCUAAUAUCACCGUAUCCAUGACGGUACCUGCAGAAGAAGCUCCGGCUAACUACGUGCCAGCAGCCGCGGUAAUACGUAGGGAGCUAGCGUUGUCCGGAAUUACUGGGCGUAAAGAGCGCGUAGGCGGGUAUUUAAGUCAGAUGUGAAAACUAUAGGCUCAACCUGUAGCCUGCAUUUGAAACUGGAUAUCUUGAGGGCAGGAGAGGAAAGUGGAAUUCCUAGUGUAGCGGUGAAAUGCGUAGAUAUCGGGAGGAAUACCGGUGGCGAAGGCGACUUUCUGGCUGAAUACUGACGCUGAGGCGCGAAAGCGUGGGGAGCAAACA